GGAAGAGCGAUGGAAAUAAAGGCGGCACAAGUGGAUGAAUUGUUUUGUAUGCGAGCAGUAUGUCUGUGUGAGUCACUACUGCACUCAGUGGCCUUUCGGCUGACACUUAUCUUGUUCUGUUUCUCUGCAGCUCUAUGUUUAUUCAUGUUUAUAAGCCAUAGCCAUAUCUGCAAGGCCAGAGUUCACUGUUUGUCAUCCAAAAGACAAACAGCUCACAUCUUAUGGUUGCGGAGUGAAUCUGGGUAUGCAAGGACUGGAGUCAAUGGGGACGUUCAUUUACCAGACAGCCACAGCUGUGGACCAGAACGAUGUUCUAGAGGCACUGUCUGCUAAAAUGCAACACUCCAGACAGGUGGCCGAGAGCUUCAAGCAGACAGGCCUGGCUCAAUCAAUUUAUGAAUGAAACACGAGGACGGGCAGGUGAAUGCAUAGUGCCCCCUAGUGGGAAGUGGUGGUGGAUUGUUUGUGUUUACACUGAAUGUUUACAAUGAAUCACUGUUGAUUACACACUGAAAGCAGAUGAACGGACGUGAUCUUUGCCUGGAUGAAUACAGGGUGUAAAGAUGUGACCACAAGUCGUUGUGAUGUACAAUGGGUGGAGCUAUUUAAUUAUGCAUGGAGCACACAUGCCAUGGACACAUUUGCUACGAGGCCUUUGAAGUUCUGUUUUUUCAGGUUGCAAAGCUCGUCAAUUCAAACAGAUGCAGAUGAGAUCUGACACAAUCUACAGUACAUUGUCUAUUAAUGCACUGCACUGGAUUUGGAUUCCUCUGUUAAGUGUCAGAACGAACCGGAUGAGGAGUUUCCUAAAUCUAGUCCAUUGUGUUCUCUUAACAUCGGUGUAAUGAGACUGUUGUGCAGCAACAUCAACAGGAGCUGAAUAAUGCAUUAAACUGUUAUUGUAUGUGAUUUAACAGAGGAGCACAUGUGUAGAAUCUGAUAUCCAGUCUAUCGUGCCGUUUGUCCUUGUGUUUUGCGUGGCGCAAACUGUGUUGAUGACGUUGUGAAGUAUGUGUGUGCUCUUUUUUGUGUACUUUUUAAGCAGGUUUCAAAAGCUCCCAUUAAAUAGGGCAAUUGUAAUAUCACAAACUAAUUUGGCUGGUGUCACAUUCAUUUCUAAAGAACUGAAGUGACAUUUGAGAGAUUGGGAGUAUAAUAAAAUCCUGCUCCUGUUGAAGUGCCAAUAAAUGUGGUGGUUGGGUAUAAGUUAUAUGGAUCGUCUUUACAUAGAACCCCUGUAUGUUUAAUUGGAGAUGAACGCAAUUUAACAAAGGUUAAAGCAACCAGUGUAGGAACUUGUUAGGGGUUUACAAAGAUUUUUGCAAAUCAAAUGAAAAUAAAAUGAAAAAAAACGAUGAGCCUUAAAACAGACUUAUCUUUUCAGAGUCCGAUUACUCCGUAAGCAGAAAGUUUGACAUGCUGUUGUAAAUAACUAUAUAUUUGUGAGCUGCACCCCAUUUAGACAGAACGGUAUCAUGUGUUGUUUCCAUAAUAGUUGAUAUGAGGCACUGCUGCCCUCUACUGGUGCAGCCUGUCUGUUGCACCUGCUUAGCCUCAAACUUCCACACCUGACUAAUCUCUUGUAUUUUAAGUGUAAUCGAUCCCUUAAAUAUAACUUAAGCCCACUGAUGGAACUGAGAGGGGCCCAGGAUCGUCCGAUAGGACACAAGUUGCCUUUCUGGUAUUCUUUUCUUUGGUAAAGCACUUUGUAAAAUUGUUUAGAAACAAAUGAUUAAGGGUAUUUUUAUGGCAUACUAUACUAGUACAUAUUCCAUGACACUUUUUGUAAUGUCACGCUGUACAUUGGUAUUUCCUAUAGCCUUUCUUUUCCUAUUUUACUAUCAGGUAUUUUAAGAACUUUUUGUGAAAUUUGAUUUAAUUACAAUUUCAUUUUUAACUCUU
This is a long non-coding RNA of Gasterosteus aculeatus aculeatus (three-spined stickleback), 1902 nucleotides long. The record is from Ensembl. NCBI's taxonomy places the organism in Eukaryota, Metazoa, Chordata, Actinopteri, Perciformes, Gasterosteidae.